RNAcentral lists this ribosomal RNA (254 nucleotides) under uncultured bacterium. Its description in RNAcentral is "partial 16S ribosomal RNA". It matches the Rfam family "Bacterial small subunit ribosomal RNA", at positions 524 to 776 of the family's 1533-position model. The record is from RNAcentral.
UACGUAGGGCGCAAGCGUUGUCCGGAAUUAUUGGGCGUAAAGAGCUCGUAGGCGGUGUGUCACGUCGGCCGUGAAAACCUGCAGCUUAACUGUGGGCGUGCGGUCGAUACGGGCAUCACUGGAGUUCGGCAGGGGAGACUGGAAUUCCUGGUGUAGCGGUGAAAUGCGCAGAUAUCAGGAGGAACACCCGUGGCUAAGGCGGCUCUCUAGUACGGUACUGACGCUGAGACGCGAAAGCGUGGGGAGCGAACAGG